RNAcentral lists this ribosomal RNA (439 nucleotides) under uncultured bacterium. RNAcentral's name for it is "bacterial SSU rRNA". It matches the Rfam family "Bacterial small subunit ribosomal RNA", at positions 954 to 1392 of the family's 1533-position model. The record is from RNAcentral.
GCAAAACGCGAAGAACCUUACCAGGUCUUGACAUCCCGCUGACCGCUCUAGAGAUAGAGUUUUCCCUUCGGGGACAGCGGUGACAGGUGGUGCAUGGUUGUCGUCAGCUCGUGUCGUGAGAUGUUGGGUUAAGUCCCGCAACGAGCGCAACCCUCGAUCUUAGUUGCCAGCAUUCAGUUGGGCACUCUAAGGUGACUGCCGGUGAUAAACCGGAGGAAGGUGGGGAUGACGUCAAAUCAUCAUGCCCCUUAUGACCUGGGCUACACACGUGCUACAAUGGACGGUACAGAGGGUCGCAACCCCGCGAGGGUGAGCAAAUCCCAUAAAACCGUUCUCAGUUCGGAUUGUAGGCUGCAACUCGCCUACAUGAAGCCGGAAUCGCUAGUAAUCGUGGAUCAGCAUGCCACGGUGAAUACGUUCCCGGGUCUUGUACACACCG